This 713-nucleotide ribosomal RNA is filed under the name Fictibacillus barbaricus. RNAcentral's name for it is "bacterial SSU rRNA". It matches the Rfam family "Bacterial small subunit ribosomal RNA", at positions 68 to 767 of the family's 1533-position model. Lineage: Bacteria; Bacillati; Bacillota; Bacilli; Caryophanales; Fictibacillaceae. The record is from RNAcentral.
UGACGAGGAGCUUGCUCCUCUGAUUUAGCGGCGGACGGGUGAGUAACACGUGGGUAAUCUGCCUGUAAGACGGGGAUAACUCCGGGAAACCGGGGCUAAUACCGGAUAAUAAGAAGAAACGCAUGUUUCUUUUUUGAAAGUCGGUUUCGGCUGACACUUACAGAUGAGCCCGCGGCGCAUUAGCUAGUUGGUGAGGUAACGGCUCACCAAGGCGACGAUGCGUAGCCGACCUGAGAGGGUGAUCGGCCACACUGGGACUGAGACACGGCCCAGACUCCUACGGGAGGCAGCAGUAGGGAAUCUUCGGCAAUGGGCGAAAGCCUGACCGAGCAACGCCGCGUGAGCGAUGAAGGCCUUCGGGUCGUAAAGCUCUGUUGUUAGAGAAGAACAAGUACGAGAGUAACUGCUCGUACCUUGACGGUACCUAACCAGAAAGCCACGGCUAACUACGUGCCAGCAGCCGCGGUAAUACGUAGGUGGCAAGCGUUAUCCGGAAUUAUUGGGCGUAAAGCGCGCGCAGGCGGUCUCUUAAGUCUGAUGUGAAAGCCCACGGCUCAACCGUGGAGGGUCAUUGGAAACUGGGAGACUUGAGUGCAGGAGAGAAAAGUGGAAUUCCACGUGUAGCGGUGAAAUGCGUAGAGAUGUGGAGGAACACCAGUGGCGAAGGCGGCUUUUUGGCCUGUAACUGACGCUGAGGCGCGAAAGCGUGGGGA